RNAcentral lists this transfer RNA (61 nucleotides) under Pseudoniphargus gorbeanus. Its description in RNAcentral is "tRNA-Asn". The record is from RNAcentral. Lineage: Eukaryota; Metazoa; Arthropoda; Malacostraca; Amphipoda; Allocrangonyctidae.
UCAGCCGAAACCAAAAAGAGGUAAAUCACUGUUAAUGAUUAAAUUGAAUUAUCCGGCCGAU